Molecule: ribosomal RNA, 567 nt
Filed under: Listeria monocytogenes
Lineage: Bacteria; Bacillati; Bacillota; Bacilli; Caryophanales; Listeriaceae
Description: partial 23S ribosomal RNA
Rfam family: Bacterial large subunit ribosomal RNA
Source: RNAcentral
AGUAAAUUGGUUAAGUUAGAAAGGGCGCACGGUGGAUGCCUUGGCACUAGGAGCCGAAGAAGGACGGGACUAACACCGAUAUGCUUUGGGGAGCUGUACGUAAGCGUUGAUCCAGAGAUUUCCGAAUGGGGGAACCCACUAUCUUUAGUCGGAUAGUAUCCUUACGUGAAUACAUAGCGUGAGGAAGGCAGACCCAGGGAACUGAAACAUCUAAGUACCUGGAGGAAGAGAAAGAAAAAUCGAUUUCCUGAGUAGCGGCGAGCGAAACGGAAAGAGCCCAAACCAAGAAGCUUGCUUCUUGGGGUUGUAGGACACUCUAUACGGAGUUACAAAAGAAAGUUAUAAAUGAAGCGGUCUGGAAAGGCCCGCCAAAGACGGUAACAGCCCGGUAGUUGAAAUGGCUUUCCCUCCAGAGUGGAUCCUGAGUACGGCGGAACACGUGAAAUUCCGUCGGAAUCCGGGAGGACCAUCUCCCAAGGCUAAAUACUCCCUAGUGACCGAUAGUGAACCAGUACCGUGAGGGAAAGGUGAAAAGCACCCCGGAAGGGGAGUGAAACAGUUCCUGAA